CCUACGGGAGGCAGCAGUCGAGAAUCAUUCACAAUGGGGGAAACCCUGAUGGUGCGACGCCGCGUGGGGGAAUGAAGGUCUUCGGAUUGUAAACCCCUGUCAUGUGGGAGCAAAUUAAAAAGAUAGUACCACAAGAGGAAGAGACGGCUAACUCUGUGCCAGCAGCCGCGGUAAUACAGAGGUCUCAAGCGUUGUUCGGAAUCACUGGGCGUAAAGCGUGCGUAGGCUGUUUCGUAAGUCGUGUGUGAACGGCGCGGGAUCAACCCGCGGACGGCCCAUGAUACUGGGAGACUAGAGUUAUGGAGAGGGAAGCGGAAUUCGCGGUGGAGAAGGGAAAUGCGUAGAUAUGGAGAGGAACAC
RNAcentral lists this ribosomal RNA (360 nucleotides) under uncultured bacterium. RNAcentral's name for it is "partial 16S ribosomal RNA". It matches the Rfam family "Bacterial small subunit ribosomal RNA", at positions 338 to 709 of the family's 1533-position model. The record is from RNAcentral.